AACUCUCCAAGAUACAGUGAAGCAGGGGAUGGCUUUGAUAAUUUCUCAAGAUUUGAUUCCUUCAGCAUGCAAGAAGGUGGAUUUUCUCCACGAGAGAGGCUUACAAGGUUUGAUUCCGUAAGCAGCACAAAAGACUUUGGCCACAGUCGUGCCUUCUCGUCUUUUGAUGAUGCAGACCCAUUUGGCUCCAGUGGACCAUUUAAGGUUUCAUCAGACAAUCAAACUCCAAAAAAAGGUUCUGAAAGUUGGAGUGCUUUCUAGCCAACAAUCCAAUCGUCCAUUAUUUUAUCUCCUUGCUGCUAAUUUCCUCUCCCAUUUUGUUUUGGUUUUGUUCAUUGUGGCCAUUUUUCCCGUCCUGUAUAGGUUGGACAAAGAGCUGGACUGUUGUAAAGUUAUUUGAUAUGGCUGGGCUGCUUUUUUUUU
Molecule: unclassified non-coding RNA, 423 nt
Filed under: Hevea brasiliensis (rubber tree)
Lineage: Eukaryota; Viridiplantae; Streptophyta; Magnoliopsida; Malpighiales; Euphorbiaceae
Source: RNAcentral